RNAcentral lists this ribosomal RNA (3017 nucleotides) under Salmonella enterica subsp. enterica serovar Hillingdon. RNAcentral describes it as "bacterial LSU rRNA". It matches the Rfam family "Bacterial large subunit ribosomal RNA". The record is from RNAcentral. Lineage: Bacteria; Pseudomonadati; Pseudomonadota; Gammaproteobacteria; Enterobacterales; Enterobacteriaceae.
GGGUUGUGAGGUUAAGCGACUAAGCGUACACGGUGGAUGCCCUGGCAGUCAGAGGCGAUGAAGGACGUGCUAAUCUGCGAUAAGCGCCGGUAAGGUGAUAUGAACCGUUAUAACCGGCGAUUUCCGAAUGGGGAAACCCAGUGUGAUUCGUCACACUAUCAUUAACUGAAUCCAUAGGUUAAUGAGGCGAACCGGGGGAACUGAAACAUCUAAGUACCCCGAGGAAAAGAAAUCAACCGAGAUUCCCCCAGUAGCGGCGAGCGAACGGGGAGGAGCCCAGAGCCUGAAUCAGCAUGUGUGUUAGUGGAAGCGUCUGGAAAGGCGCGCGAUACAGGGUGACAGCCCCGUACACAAAAGCGCAUGUGCUGUGAGCUCGAUGAGUAGGGCGGGACACGUGGUAUCCUGUCUGAAUAUGGGGGGACCAUCCUCCAAGGCUAAAUACUCCUGACUGACCGAUAGUGAACCAGUACCGUGAGGGAAAGGCGAAAAGAACCCCGGCGAGGGGAGUGAAAAAGAACCUGAAACCGUGUACGUACAAGCAGUGGGAGCACAGGUUUACCUGUGUGACUGCGUACCUUUUGUAUAAUGGGUCAGCGACUUAUAUUCUGUAGCAAGGUUAACCGAAUAGGGGAGCCGGAGGGAAACCGAGUCUUAACCGGGCGUUAAGUUGCAGGGUAUAGACCCGAAACCCGGUGAUCUAGCCAUGGGCAGGUUGAAGGUUGGGUAACACUAACUGGAGGACCGAACCGACUAAUGUUGAAAAAUUAGCGGAUGACCUGUGGCUGGGGGUGAAAGGCCAAUCAAACCGGGAGAUAGCUGGUUCUCCCCGAAAGCUAUUUAGGUAGCGCCUCGUGAAUUCAUCUCCGGGGGUAGAGCACUGUUUCGGCUAGGGGGCCAUCCCGGCUUACCAACCCGAUGCAAACUGCGAAUACCGGAGAAUGUUAUCACGGGAGACACACGGCGGGUGCUAACGUCCGUCGUGAAGAGGGAAACAACCCAGACCGCCAGCUAAGGUCCCAAAGUCAUGGUUAAGUGGGAAACGAUGUGGGAAGGCCCAGACAGCCAGGAUGUUGGCUUAGAAGCAGCCAUCAUUUAAAGAAAGCGUAAUAGCUCACUGGUCGAGUCGGCCUGCGCGGAAGAUGUAACGGGGCUAAACCAUGCACCGAAGCUGCGGCAGCGAACGUAUCACCCAAGACAACUUUACGGAGUUGACGAUUGACGGAGCGAAGCGACGUCAAAGCGUUCAUUAAAGUCGAGUUGGCUUAGGGAUACGUUCGUUGGGUAGGGGAGUGUUCUGUAAGCCUGCGAAGGUGGCCUGUGAGGGUUGCUGGAGGUAUCAGAAGUGCGAAUGCUGACAUAAGUAACGAUAAAGCGGGUGAAAAACCCGCUCGCCGGAAGACCAAGGGUUCCUGUCCAACGUUAAUCGGGGCAGGGUGAGUCGACCCCUAAGGCGAGGCCGAAAGGCGUAGUCGAUGGGAAACGGGUUAAUAUUCCCGUACUUGGUGUUACUGCGAAGGGGGGACGGAGAAGGCUAUGUUGGCCGGGCGACGGUUGUCCCGGUUUAAGCGUGUAGGUGUGUGUUCCAGGUAAAUCCGGUUCACUUUAACACUGAGGCGUGACGACGAGGCACUACGGUGCUGAAGCAACAAAUGCCCUGCUUCCAGGAAAAGCCUCUAAGCAUCAGGUAACAUCAAAUCGUACCCCAAACCGACACAGGUGGUCAGGUAGAGAAUACCAAGGCGCUUGAGAGAACUCGGGUGAAGGAACUAGGCAAAAUGGUGCCGUAACUUCGGGAGAAGGCACGCUGACACGUAGGUGAAGUGAUUUACUCACGGAGCUGAAGUCAGUCGAAGAUACCAGCUGGCUGCAACUGUUUAUUAAAAACACAGCACUGUGCAAACACGAAAGUGGACGUAUACGGUGUGACGCCUGCCCGGUGCCGGAAGGUUAAUUGAUGGGGUCAGCGCAAGCGAAGCUCCUGAUCGAAGCCCCGGUAAACGGCGGCCGUAACUAUAACGGUCCUAAGGUAGCGAAAUUCCUUGUCGGGUAAGUUCCGACCUGCACGAAUGGCGUAAUGAUGGCCAGGCUGUCUCCACCCGAGACUCAGUGAAAUUGAACUCGCUGUGAAGAUGCAGUGUACCCGCGGCAAGACGGAAAGACCCCGUGAACCUUUACUAUAGCUUGACACUGAACAUUGAGCCUUGAUGUGUAGGAUAGGUGGGAGGCUUUGAAGCGUGGACGCCAGUCUGCGUGGAGCCGACCUUGAAAUACCACCCUUUAAUGUUUGAUGUUCUAACGUGGACCCGUGAUCCGGGUUGCGGACAGUGUCUGGUGGGUAGUUUGACUGGGGCGGUCUCCUCCUAAAGAGUAACGGAGGAGCACGAAGGUUGGCUAAUCCUGGUCGGACAUCAGGAGGUUAGUGCAAUGGCAUAAGCCAGCUUGACUGCGAGCGUGACGGCGCGAGCAGGUGCGAAAGCAGGUCAUAGUGAUCCGGUGGUUCUGAAUGGAAGGGCCAUCGCUCAACGGAUAAAAGGUACUCCGGGGAUAACAGGCUGAUACCGCCCAAGAGUUCAUAUCGACGGCGGUGUUUGGCACCUCGAUGUCGGCUCAUCACAUCCUGGGGCUGAAGUAGGUCCCAAGGGUAUGGCUGUUCGCCAUUUAAAGUGGUACGCGAGCUGGGUUUAGAACGUCGUGAGACAGUUCGGUCCCUAUCUGCCGUGGGCGCUGGAGAACUGAGGGGGGCUGGCUCCUAGUACGAGAGGACCGGAGUGGACGCAUCGACUGGUGUUCGGGUUGUCAUGCCAAUGGCACUGCCCGGUAGCUAAAUGCGGAAGAGAUAAGUGCUGAAAGCAUCUAAGCACGAAAACUUGCCCCGAGAUGAGUUCUCCCUGAGACUUAGAGUCUCCUGAAGGAACGUUGAAGACGACGACGUUGAUAGGCCGGGUGUGUAAGCGCAGCGAUGCGUUGAGCUAACCGGUACUAAUGAACCGUGAGGCUUAACCGUUACAACGCCGAAG